CCCUUAGAUGUUCUGGGCCGCACGCGCGCUACACUGAUUCAUGCAACAAGUUUUGUCCUUGGCUGAUAGGCCUGGGUAAUCUUUGAACGUGAAUCGUGAUGGGGAUAGAUGAUUGCAAUUAUUCAUCUUCAACGAGGAAUUCCUAGUAAACGCAAGUCAUCAGCUUGCAUUGAUUACGUCCCUGCCCUUUGUACACACCGCCCGUCGCACCUACCGAUUGAGUGGUCCGGUGAAAUCUUCGGAUCUGAGAGAUGUCUGAUUAAUUUCGGACGCCUUUUGGAAAAGUUGCUUAAACCUUACCAUUUAGAGGAAGGUGAAGUCGUANCA
Molecule: ribosomal RNA, 327 nt
Filed under: uncultured eukaryote
Lineage: Eukaryota
Description: partial 18S ribosomal RNA
Rfam family: Eukaryotic small subunit ribosomal RNA
Source: RNAcentral